GCUUUGUUGUCAUCCAUAUGAGAUGCCCCAUAUCAUUAGAACAGGAUAAGAGUCUCUCCAUAGAGCUUAACAGAGGCAUAACUCGAGAAGCAGAAAUGGCUACUUGUAUCAUGACGGCUGCUAAAACCCCAUUAAUUGUUUCAAACUCACAAUCUUCAAACCUUCGUUCAAAUCAUCUUUUAAUCUCUUACUCAAAUCAAGUAAUCACUUUUCCAAGACUAUCUCUCAGCAUCAACAAAAAACCCCAAUUCCCAAAAUUUAGGGUUUCUGCUUCAUCAUCAUCAUCAACAGCUUCUCCUCCUAUUGUCCCAAAAUCAAACCCUGAGAAACCCAAUACUCUUCUGUCCGAUUCAAUUACAUCAAUUUUUGCAAUUGGUUUAUCAUUAUCGAGAAUCUUUCAAGGGGUUUUAAACAAGGCACCAGAAUUGGGUGGGAAUUUGGUGAAUACUGCUGGUCCAUUGUUUUUUGCUGCGAUUAGGGAAAGACCCAAAGGUUAUUUGAAUACACCACUGACUGUGGUUGCUUCUGGUAUGUCAAAAUGGCUUGAUAUUUACAGUGGGGUUUUGAUGGUGAGGGUGUUGCUCAGUUGGUUUCCUAAUGUUCCAUGGGAUCGUCAACCACUUUCUGCAAUUAGGGAUUUGUGUGAUCCUUAUCUGAAUUUGUUUCGAAAUAUUAUUCCACCAAUUUUUGAUACAUUGGAUGUCAGUCCGUUGCUUGCUUUUGCUGUUUUGGGUGUUUUGGGCUCAAUUCUUAAUAACAGCAGGGGAAUGUAUUGAUUGAUGGAUUUGGAGAUUGAUGGGGUUUUCAUAUGGUUUAUACAUCUGGGGCAGCACUAGAAUUGGAGUAUUGGAAUUCAAUUUGCCUUUACUUUUGAAGUCUUUGUUUCUAUUCUAAUCUGUAUCAAGACCCCGUCAUUCUCUCAUAGAAGAUCACCAUUUGAAUCACAAGCAUUGUCUUCAAAACCCUUGCUUUUCAAUCCCUGGAAUUCUCUGGAUCAAUUUUUUUAUGGUUUAUACCAUGUAGAGCUAGAAUUGUAGUAAGUUCUGCACUUUACGUUAAGUUUUUUGUUUCGUUUGCUAUUCUUGCUGUAAUAGUGAUUUGUGCUGAAUGUAGUAGUACUGGUUAUCAGAUACAGAGGUUUUGUGAAAGU
Papaver somniferum (opium poppy) is the source of this 1150-nucleotide RNA transcript. It is a transcript of the gene named ylmG homolog protein 1-2, chloroplastic-like, with no coding region annotated. The record is from RefSeq and is a predicted model, not a curated record. The transcript is spliced from 2 exons. Lineage: Eukaryota; Viridiplantae; Streptophyta; Magnoliopsida; Ranunculales; Papaveraceae.